Molecule: ribosomal RNA, 253 nt
Filed under: uncultured bacterium
Lineage: Bacteria
Description: partial 16S ribosomal RNA
Rfam family: Bacterial small subunit ribosomal RNA
Source: RNAcentral
UACGGAGGGUGCAAGCGUUGUCCGGAUUUAUUGGGUUUAAAGGGUGCGUAGGCGGGCCUUUAAGUCAGUGGUGAAGGCCGACAGCUUAACUGUCGAAAUGCCAUUGAUACUGGGGGUCUUGAGUACAGUAGAGGUAGGCGGAAUUAAUGGUGUAGCGGUGAAAUGCAUAGAUACCAUUAAGAACACCGAUUGCGAAGGCAGCUUACUAUAGUGUAACUGACGCUGAGGCACGAAAGUGUGGGGAUCAAACAGG